Molecule: ribosomal RNA, 537 nt
Filed under: Neogyptis rosea
Lineage: Eukaryota; Metazoa; Annelida; Polychaeta; Phyllodocida; Hesionidae
Description: partial 16S ribosomal RNA
Rfam family: Bacterial large subunit ribosomal RNA
Source: RNAcentral
UUUAUCAAAAACAUUGCCUUUAGAUUUAUAAAUUAAAGGUAUGUCCUGCCCGGUGAAUUACGGUUUUAACGGCCGCGGUAUCCUGACCGUGCAAAGGUAGCAUAAUCAUUUGCCUUUUAAUUGGAGGCUUGUAUGAAUGGAUUAACGAGGGACUAAUUGUCUCAUCUAUAAGAAUAAAAAUUAGUUUGUAGGUGAAGAAACCUACAUAUAAUUAAAAGACAAGAAGACCCUAUCGAGUUUUAUUAACCCGGCUGGGUUUUAAAAAUUAUAAUAUUUUAAAAAGAGGCAGGCUAAUUUGGUUGGGGCGACUGGGGAAUUAGAAAAACUUCCCCCGCACAUAGAAUAUAAUUCAAGUAAGGAUCCACAGCAGUGAUCUAUAGAAAAACACUACCGUAGGGAUAACAGGCUAAUUUCUUUAGAGAGUUCACAUUGACAAGGAAGAUUGGCACCUCGAUGUUGGCUUAGAAUAUCCCUUGUAUGCAGCAGUACAAAAAGGUUGGUUUGUUCAACCAUAAAAAUCUACGUGAUCUGAGUUCA